UGAAAGCAUUUCAAGACCUGCCC
This 23-nucleotide non-coding RNA is filed under the name Rattus norvegicus (Norway rat). The record is from RNAcentral. Lineage: Eukaryota; Metazoa; Chordata; Mammalia; Rodentia; Muridae.